This 394-nucleotide long non-coding RNA is filed under the name Vigna radiata. RNAcentral's name for it is "long non-coding RNA (VRAD_LNC008477)". Lineage: Eukaryota; Viridiplantae; Streptophyta; Magnoliopsida; Fabales; Fabaceae. The record is from RNAcentral.
GAUGCUGGAUCCAGAAUCUAUCAUAGCUUCCCCAUCCCAAUCAUUCAGGGAACAUAACAGUGUUAAACACCCUGGAUCUUUAGCCUUAGGAGGAUAAUUACUCUUUUGUGGGUGAACGACAAGAUCCUCUUCUUCAUCAGUAAGUUCCAUUUCAUCCUCCUUGUUACUUUUGAUUCUUUUUGAAUGGGGAGGACUUUGCUCAUUUUCUAAAGGUGACACCAUCACUUCACCAACUUCUUUUUCCUUAUAAUUUUCCUCUCCUUAAUCUUCACUACUCAUGGGUUCAAAGAAUUCACCCAUUAACGUCUCUUCUUCUUCACUGUUAACCACAUGGAAUGGUUCAAUAUCUUCCUCCCAACCAUUUUGACUGUCUUCGUCCCAACCACUCUGGCUU